RNAcentral lists this ribosomal RNA (253 nucleotides) under uncultured bacterium. RNAcentral describes it as "partial 16S ribosomal RNA". It matches the Rfam family "Bacterial small subunit ribosomal RNA", at positions 524 to 776 of the family's 1533-position model. The record is from RNAcentral.
UAUGUAGGGUGCAAGCGUUGCCCGGAUUUAUUGGGCGUAAAGGGCGCGUAGGCGGCCUUCUAAGUCGAACGUGAAAUCCCCGGGCUCAACCCGGGAACUGCGUCCGAUACUGGAAGGCUUGAAUCCGGGAGAGGGAUGCGGAAUUCCAGGUGUAGCGGUGAAAUGCGUAGAUAUCUGGAGGAACACCGGUGGCGAAGGCGGCAUCCUGGACCGGUAUUGACGCUGAGGCGCGAAAGCCAGGGGAGCAAACGGG